Molecule: ribosomal RNA, 374 nt
Filed under: uncultured bacterium
Lineage: Bacteria
Description: bacterial SSU rRNA
Rfam family: Bacterial small subunit ribosomal RNA
Source: RNAcentral
UAAUACGAAGGGUGCUAGCGUUGUUCGGAAUCACUGGGCGUAAAGCGCGCGUAGGUGGCUUUACAAGUCAGGGGUGAAAUCCCAGAGCUUAACUCUGGAAUUGCCUUUGAAACUGUAAAGCUAGAGUAUUGGAGGGGAUAGCGGAAUUGCUAAUGUAGAGGUGAAAUUCGUAGAUAUUAGCAGGAACACCGGUGGCGAAGGCGGCUAUCUGGACAAUUACUGACACUCUGGCGCGAAAGCGUGGGGAUCAAACAGGAUUAGAUACCCUGGUAGUCCACGCUGUAAACGAUGGAUACUAGCCGUUGGGGGGUUACCCCUCAGUGGCGUAGCUAACGCGUUAAGUAUCCCGCCUGGGGAGUACGGUCGCAAGAUUA